This 842-nucleotide long non-coding RNA is filed under the name Ananas comosus (pineapple). RNAcentral's name for it is "long non-coding RNA (ACOM_LNC039194)". The record is from RNAcentral. Lineage: Eukaryota; Viridiplantae; Streptophyta; Magnoliopsida; Poales; Bromeliaceae.
CUCUUCCCAGAUAGCGGCGGAGGCGAAAGCGCCACCCCCUGCUCCGGUGACGUCGCCCUUGCCCGCUCCGGCGACGUCGCCGGCGACGAGCCUACCUCCCCCGCCUUGGCCUCUCCCCCGACCCCUCUUCCUACCGCGCCCUCGCCCAAGCCCUCUGUCGCCGCCUCCCUGCUCGAGGACAAGCUCCACCGCGGCCUCCUUCUUCCUCCUCCUUCUCCAUUGGCGUGCCAAUGCGAGACGAAGACGAAGGAAUGCGGACUCGGCCCGGAGCCCGUCGGAGUCGCAGGGGAGGAGCGUGGAGAGGUGGGCGGCGCCGCCGAGCCGCGCGGCGAGCUCGUGGUUCUCAACGCGGAGGCGCGUGAGGUGGCUCCAGAGCUUCUCGAGGUGGAAGAAUGAGGAAGAAAAAAAAAAGAGAAUAAACGGAGGGGAAAAAGGAAAAAGAAAAAAAAAGAAGAGAAUAAACGGAGGGAAAGAAGGAGGAAGAAGAAGAGAAUAAAAAAUAGUGUAAAUUUCACACAAAUAGUGCAACAUUUGCCUAAAAAGUGUAAUUUUUGUCAUCCCAAAUAGUGUAAAUUUCAUCCAAAUAGUGCAACGUUCGCCUAAAAAGUACAACUCUCGUCCCAAAGAGUGUAAAUUUUAUCUCAAAUAGUAUAAAUUUUAUAUAAAACAGUGCAAUUUUUUUUUAAAAUUGCACUCUUUGAGACAGAACUGCACUGUUUUGGUGAAAUUUGUAAAUUUUAUAUAAAACAGUGCAUUUUUUUUUUAAAUUGCACUCUUUGAGACAGAACUGCACUGUUUGGGUGAAAUUUACACCAUUUCUCUUUUUUCACCACGGAUGUGGG